This 465-nucleotide ribosomal RNA is filed under the name uncultured bacterium. RNAcentral describes it as "partial 16S ribosomal RNA". It matches the Rfam family "Bacterial small subunit ribosomal RNA", at positions 338 to 795 of the family's 1533-position model. The record is from RNAcentral.
CCUACGGGAGGCAGCAGUGGGGAAUAUUGCGCAAUGGGCGAAAGCCUGACGCAGCGACGCCGCGUGAGGGAUGAAGGUCUUCGGAUCGUAAACCUCUGUCAGCAGGGAAGAACGGUCACUGUGCUAAUCAGCAGUGACUUGACGGUACCUGCAAAGGAAGCACCGGCUAACUCCGUGCCAGCAGCCGCGGUAAUACGGAGGGUGCGAGCGUUAAUCGGAAUUACUGGGCGUAAAGCGCUCGUAGGCGGUAUGUCAAGUCAAGGGUGAAACCCCCGCGCUCAACGUGGGAACUGCCUUUGAAACUGGCAAACUGGAGUGUGUGAGAGGAUAGUGGAAUUCCGGGUGUAGGAGUGAAAUCCGUAGAUAUCUGGAGGAACAUCAGUGGCGAAGGCGACUAUCUGGCACAUAACUGACGCUGAGGAGCGAAAGCGUGGGUAGCAAACAGGAUUAGAUACCCCUGUAGUC